This 408-nucleotide small RNA is filed under the name Pan troglodytes (chimpanzee). RNAcentral describes it as "retained intron". Lineage: Eukaryota; Metazoa; Chordata; Mammalia; Primates; Hominidae. The record is from RNAcentral.
CAGCUGAUUUGUCCCUUUUCCUUGUGAGAUCAGAGAGGCCUCUGCUGUCUUUUCCUCCUUCCAGAGCUAGCGCUGAACACAGCCCAGUUUGCAAAGAGUCUAGCCAUGCUUGGGAGCUCUGAGGACAACACGGCAUUGUCACGGGCACUCUCCCAGCUGGCUGAGGUGGAAGAAAAAAUUGAGCAGCUCCACCAGGAACAGGCCAACAAUGACUUCUUCCUCCUUGCUGAGCUCCUGAGUGACUACAUUCGCCUCCUGGCCAUAGUCCGCGCUGCCUUCGACCAGCGCAUGAAGACAUGGCAGCGCUGGCAGGAUGCCCAAGCCACACUGCAGAAGAAGCGGGAGGCCGAGGCUCGGCUGCUGUGGGCCAACAAGCCUGAUAAGCUGCAGCAGGCCAAGGACGAGAUC